CAAGUCAAGAUUAUACUAUAAUAAUAUUUUCACGAUUAAGAAAUAAUUUUACUGUUCGAUUUCUAAGGUGCGAUAUAGUGUGGUCGUUGCCUUACAACCCAUGUUCAUGUUUCAGUUGCUGAAAUGCCUGUUUAUAGCUUAUUUGGAAUAAUUGCUGCUCUACUAUCUGGGGCUGGAUGCAUCGUACAUGUUAUUGGUUUAUCUGUUGUCUACUGGAUUGUGUCUGACCCAUAUGUCUCUGGAUGGGGAAUCGGGUUGUGGCAGAGUUGUAACUUUUAUGAAUGUAAUCACCACACCACCUCCUUUGUCUGUGCACUAGAAUAUUGGAAAGCAGCGCAAGCUAUGGUUAUGAUUGGUUUCUUUGUUGGAUUAGCUGGCUUCAUCUUUACUAUAAUCAGUGUGCAACAAAGGAAUAGAAUAUUGCAUCUUGUUUCAGCCAUUUCAUGCAUACUUGCAGCCGUGAGUAUCCUGUUGGCUGUGAUUGUAUUUGGAGCUAAAACUAAGCUGAAAGCAAAUACCCAGUGGGGCUGGGGCUUUAUCUUAUGUGCCAUUAGUCCCUUUAUCUUUUUCCCUGCUGGUGUUCUUAAUUUCUGGUUAUACAGAGGGACAGGUUCCGUGUAAAGAUUUUAGGAAAAUAUGGCUCCAUUAGAAGUUUUUUUCUCCAUUUUUUAUAACUUUUUAUUGUCCCCCGCCUUUCGAAGAAAGCAGGGGACUAUUAAAAUGGGUUCGUCCGUCUGUCCGUCUGUCCGUCCGUCCGUCCGUCCGUCUGUCUGUCCGUCCGUCUGUCUGUCCGUCACACUUUUUGGGACACAAUAACUCUCUUCCUAAUUGAGCUAGAAUGUUCAAACUUGGUGUAUGUGUUUAUUAGGUCAAUGCCUUGAUGGAGUUCGAAGAUGAGCAUUUUCCGCUUAGGGUAAGCAGAGAUAAGCAAUUUGAUUGGUUGAUGCUUUGGGACACGAUAACUCUCUUCCUAAUUGGGCUAGAAUGUUCAAACUUGGUGUAUGUGUUGAUUAGGUCAAUGCCUUGAUGGAGUUCGAAGAUGAGCAUUUUCCGCUUAGGGUAAGCAGAGAUAAGCAAUUUGAUUGGUUGAUGCUUUGGGACACGAUAACUUUUAAUUGAGCUAGAAUGUUCAAACUUGGUGUAUGUGUUUAUUAGGUCAAUGCCUUGAUGGAGUUCGAAGAUGAGCAUUUUCCGCUUAGGGUAAGCAGAGAUAAGCAAUUUGAUUGGUUGAUACUUUGGGGCACGAUAACUCUCUUCCUAAUUGAGCUAGAAUGUUCAAACUUGGUGUAUGUGUUGAUUAGGUCAAUGCCUUGAUGGAGUUCGAAGAUGAGCAUUUUCCGCUUAGGGUAAGCAGAGAUAAGCAAUUUGAUUGGUUGAUGCUUUGGGACACGAUAACUUUAGUUCUAAUUAAGUGAGAUUGAUGAAACUUGGUGUAUAGAUUUAUUAUAUGAAUACCUUAACUAAGUUCGAUAAUGAACAUUUUUUGCUGAGGGUAAGCAGAGUGAUAAGCAAUUUGAUUGGUAGAAACUUUGGAACACAAUAACUCUCCUUCUAAUUGAGGUAGAAUGUUCAAACUUGGCAUAGGUGUCUAUUAGGUGAAUGUUUAAACUUGAUGUAUAUGUAGAUGUUCAUUAGGUGAAUGUCUUGACUGAGUUCAAUAAUUAACAUUUCGAGCUGAAGCUAAGCAGAGCUAAUCGAUUUCAUUUGUCGAUGGUUUGGGACAAGAUAAUCUUGAUUCUAUCUGAUAGAGAGUGAUGAAACUUAGUGAAAAAAAUAAAUGUGCGAUUAAUUAAUAUGUGUCAUCUAUUUAUUUUGCAAUUUCGGCGGGGGACAUCAGCCUCACUGUUGGCUUGUUAUUGUCAGUGGAGAGGCACAAGAAUUAAAGAAAAUACGGCUUCAUUAGAAAAUGAGUUCUUAUCUCCAAUUUUUUAUAACUUUUUAUUAUUGUCAGUGAAGAGGCACAAGAAUUAAAGAAAAUACGGCUUCAUUAGAAAAUGAGUUCUUAUCUCCAAUUUUUUUUAUAACUUUUUAUUAUUGUCAGCUCUGCUGAGAGGGGACUUUCAGUGCACGUUUUUAUAUUGUUAGUCUUACUAUUAUUAAUUAAUGUGCUCUUAGCUUUCAAAAAUGUUCACGUUUAAAUAAAAUGAUCGAAUUUGAACUUGAUUAGUAUAAAUGGUUAAAAGUUGCACAUUAAUUACUUUAGAUGCAUACUCAUUUGGGGUAACACAUUCCUUGGAAAUACGUUUCGCUAGAAUCUGAGCAUACAUCGAUAACGUGGGCUGUAAAAUUAAAAGCGCCUUUUCAACAGAUAUACUAAUUAUUCAAACGACGAUCAGCUAUUUAAUGUUAUCCACUACCUAAUCGUAUAAUUGUCUUUGGAGUUGUCAAAUAUCAGACGUUCAUGGAUUUUUUCAAAAUUACCAACUAAUGGCUACAUUAGAUUUAGAACUUCUACGUCCAUUACAUUUGAAAGUCGUGAAAUCACAAGCUCCAUUUUAUUUACAAGUUGAGAAAAAUAACUAAAGUAAAACAAUAUCAAAAAGUUCAAUUCGCCAUAUCAUAUAGUUCUAAUGUAUAAGAGGGUGUGUCCCUUGUAAUUUUCAAAGAUCUCAACAACAGCUGUUAUUAAAUAUAUGAUAUGUCUACAUUCACAUAUAUCUAACUGCUUUCUAAACUUAAGUAUUGAUUUUGUAAUUAUGUAUGUAUGUCCUAAAUAAAGUGAUUAAAUAGUU
Long non-coding RNA from Patella vulgata (common limpet), 2732 nucleotides. RefSeq lists it as uncharacterized. Lineage: Eukaryota; Metazoa; Mollusca; Gastropoda; Patellidae. The transcript is spliced from 4 exons. The record is from RefSeq and is a predicted model, not a curated record.